Molecule: long non-coding RNA, 457 nt
Organism: Pleuronectes platessa (European plaice)
Lineage: Eukaryota; Metazoa; Chordata; Actinopteri; Pleuronectiformes; Pleuronectidae
Exons: 3
Source: RefSeq, a predicted model, not a curated record
CCUCCGUGCGUCACACAGAUGAUGGAGGCCCAUCUGAGCAGAGACCAAGCUAUCAAGGCCUGUAUAGCCAAAACAUCUGCUGUGAUGGGACAGCUGGGUGAGGUAAGAGCAAAAGACUGCGAGGACCUGGCAGUCAUCAAACAACUCAGGAAUGAGCAGUCCAAAGUCCGUCCUGUCUUUAAUAUAAAAAAAACACAUCAAAGCUGUAAGAUGUGUUUUUUCAGAACGACGACGAGGUGGAACUAUAUUCUGACAUUAAGUGUUUACAGCGCUUUGCCUUCGCCGCAGUUUUCAAACUAAAACGGGGGCCGGGGCAUUUCCAAACUUCACCAUUGAGUUCCAUGGAAAUCAAGAUGAAGCAACACCUCUGACCCAGGCAUAUGAGUUCAUGGAAAAAAACGGUGUUCAACUAUUUGAAAAUCCUCCAACUUUCCUCAGAUGUUGUGGCAAGGAAGGA